GUGUCAGCCGCCGCGGUAAUACGGGGGGGGCAAGCGUUGUUCGGAAUUACUGGGCGUAAAGGGCUCGUAGGCGGCCAUCUAAGUCGGACGUGAAAUCCCUCGGCUUAACCGGGGAACUGCGUCCGAUACUGGAGGGCUCGAGUGUGGGAGAGGGAUGCGGAAUUCCAGGUGUAGCGGUGAAAUGCGUAGAUAUCUGGAGGAACACCGGUGGCGAAGGCGGCAUCCUGGACCAUUACUGACGCUGAGGAGCGAAAGCCAGGGGAGCAAACGGGAUUAGAAACCCCCGUAGUCC
Molecule: ribosomal RNA, 292 nt
Filed under: uncultured bacterium
Lineage: Bacteria
Description: partial 16S ribosomal RNA
Rfam family: Bacterial small subunit ribosomal RNA
Source: RNAcentral